This is a long non-coding RNA of Pipistrellus kuhlii (Kuhl's pipistrelle), 868 nucleotides long. RefSeq lists it as uncharacterized. The transcript is spliced from 3 exons. NCBI's taxonomy places the organism in Eukaryota, Metazoa, Chordata, Mammalia, Chiroptera, Vespertilionidae. The record is from RefSeq and is a predicted model, not a curated record.
UUGUCUUCAGAGAGUCUUCCUCCUGAUUUCAAGACAAUGUGCGCAGUCCUAUGUGUCCCAUGGAAACACAACCACAUCCAAUAGCUGAAGAGGACUGUCUUUUGACAAAAAGCCUCACUGCAGAGGAUCUCCAUCUCAAGAGCUUCUCUCCUGGAGUACACUGGCCUCUCCAGAUGCUGACAGCAGCUUCCUGACUUCGCUGAUUCAGCCCUGACCGGCCUGCUCUUGGAGGAUGCUUCAUCAUGUAAGCUUCCUGGUGAUAACCGGCCUUAGCCCACUAUGCCUGUCUAUUCUCGUACCCUUUCUUAAUGGAAUUUCUGCCCAUCCAUAACUGAGCAGUUGUGGAAUCUUAGAAGUAGGUUGUCCAGAAUGUGUUCUUCUAGCAGCCUACCUUAUCAUCCUUCCUUUGUGGCGUUUGUCCUUAGAACUGCAAGAUGGAUGCUGUACAUGGAGGCAUCAAAUCUAUGUUCUCGGCAGGAAGACUGGGGAAAGAAAUGGGAAGGCAAUAAUCCUCUCAUCCAACACAAUUUUACAGUAAGUUUUCCUCCCUGAUCUAAGUGUACGGUGUGCCUUAUUUUCUUACAAAGAGAUAAUUAACUAACACUGGACAUUGAUACCUUUCUCAACCUCUUCAAACAAUUAGCAUCAAAUUAUUUCUUCUUGUGGAAGCUGAAAAGGAAAUCAUGAACAAAUGCUAUUCAAUUACAAUAAUUUUUUUCCUCUAUUUAAUAGUAGUCUUAGAAACACAUCUGUAACAGCCUGGCCAAUGGAGGCUCAGUGGCUGAGUGUCAACCUAUGAACCAAGAGUGUUUGAUUCCCAGGCACAUGCCCGGGUUGCAGCUCAGCCCCCAGUGGAGGACAUGCAGGA